RNAcentral lists this unclassified non-coding RNA (223 nucleotides) under uncultured fungus. RNAcentral's name for it is "sequence contains ITS1, 5.8S rRNA gene". The stretch from base 175 to 223 matches the Rfam family "5.8S ribosomal RNA", at positions 1 to 49 of the family's 154-position model. Lineage: Eukaryota; Fungi. The record is from RNAcentral.
UCUCCGUUGGUGAACCAGCGGAGGGAUCAUUACCGAGUACUACACUCAUAACCCUUUGUGAACCUUUAUAACCUGUUGCUUCGGCGGCGCGCCUCUCGGGGCGUGCCCGCCGGUAUCAUCAGAAUCUCUGUUCGAACCCGACGAUAUAUCUGAGUGUUCUAAGCGAACUGUUAAAACUUUCAACAACGGAUCUCUUGGCUCCAGCAUCGAUGAAGAACGCAGC